RNAcentral lists this ribosomal RNA (253 nucleotides) under uncultured bacterium. RNAcentral describes it as "partial 16S ribosomal RNA". It matches the Rfam family "Bacterial small subunit ribosomal RNA", at positions 524 to 776 of the family's 1533-position model. The record is from RNAcentral.
UACGUAGGGUGCGAGCGUUGUCCGGAAUUAUUGGGCGUAAAGAGCUCGUAGGCGGUCUGUCGCGUCGAUCGUGAAAACUUGGGGCUUAACCCUGGACCUGCAUUCGAUACGGGCGGACUAGAGUUCGGUAGGGGAGACUGGAAUUCCUGGUGUAGCGGUGAAAUGCGCAGAUAUCAGGAAGAACACCCGUGGCGAAAGCGGCUCUCUGGAACGGUACUGACGCUGAGGAGCGAAAGCGUGGGGAGCGAACAGG